GUGUUUUUUAUAAGGGAUUAGUCGCAAAGCAAGGGCGGUGGGAAAGAGUGAGCACAAAAGGAGAAACCCGCAAUUGUGCAUGAUCUACAAUAAAUUAGAAUUGUAUCAGUGCUUCAAAGGAGUGCUGGAUUUUCAUUGCCAUUGUCCACCACUCUGGCUUCAUCCCACCGUUAUAUUAGAAAACGUGAGACUAUCAAUAAAUUGUAAGACAUAUUUAUUUCAGAACUUUGGAAAAGAAAGCCAAGAAAUUUCUUCGGACUGGCAAAAAAAGAAAUAUAUGCAGGUACGCGUGCUCUGUAUUAUCUACAAUAAUAUAUCUGUGACAAGAACACAAACGUUCAAGUUUGAAUGAAGAAAAACAAUAAUUCAAAAGCGAAGGUAUAAUUUCUAGGUAAAACUAUUACAACUAAGAUCCAGGCCCGGAGCUACGGGGGGGGGUGUGUGUGUGUGUGUGUGGGGGGGGGUGACACCCCCCCAGUAAUUGUAUUCAGUCGGCAGGAGUGCUAUUCAGUCGGUAGGACUGCUAUUCAGUCGGUAGAACUGCUAUUUGGGUUAAAUAUUUUUGGCGCAAAGGGCAAGAACGUGGUGGGAAUUUUAGGAAAAUUUUGAGGAAAAAUGUAAAAAUUUUGGAAAAAUGUAAAAAAAUGUUGAAAAUUUGUUAUGUGCGGAAAAUUUUUGAAUGUUCCGGAAAAUUUUUGUACGUCCGGAAAAAUUUUUGGACCCAUAAAAUGGUACACUGACCGAAAUUUUUUUGGCGACGGGGGGGGGGUCGACAAAAAAUUUUUGAUCCGGAAAAAUUUUUUUUCAACCAGUCGGUUGAAUUGACCUUAUUACACCCCCCUGAAGAAUUUCCUGAGGACGGCCCUGCUAAGAUCCCGUUCAUGCACACGGACCCGGGGUGAAGUGUUUCAAAACUUUAACACAUAGGCAUAGGUCAACUGAAGUUUUUAAGUCUCAUCUGUGGAAUCACAAUAUUAAGCUUUCUAUUUUGAUUAAACAGUAUAGGAAAACAAAGUAUCUCGCUUUCAAAGUAAACAUGCCCUGUUUCCUCCUUGUUACAAAAUUGCCACCAACCAUCUACCGUAUUUUUCGAGGUUUGCCUUCCAUGGGCAUAGGAACGACCUGGGGGCACAGGGCGCCACCCAAAUUUAAUAGAAGAGACUUCGUGUCGCCCAAAGUUGAAGUUGCUUCCUACGCCUGGCUGUUCGAUCAAGCCCCCGUUUGGCGUGCUCCCGCCAGUACCCUCCCAGCAAUAUCCCGCUUUCCCUGCUCAUAUCAAUGCAUUUAGGGCCUGUUCGUAUAGAAAAAGCGAGGACACACCUAUAUAUAUAUAUAGGCAAGUUUGAAAGCGAGAUCUCGCCUUGUUAACAAAUAAUAGAAACGUCACAUUGCGUUCAUAUGAGACAAGUUUUCCUGUGUACCGAGAUCUCGUUUGUUGACAGUCGAGAUCUCAGGUGACCGGGAUGUGUUUUCCAUAUGAAUACAACAUUAGUGGGCAAAAGAAAUAAAGUAGCAGGGAACUAUUUGGCAAAAAAAAAUUGCCAGGCAAGCUGGCGCCAUUUUGAGCAAUUAUACAACGAUUUUAAGAAUUGGCCGUUUUUAUGCUAUAGAGACGCAUAAUGCGUAUAUAUAUAGUCGCAUUACUCGUCUAGUGUAAGUACGGGACAAAUAAUCGGACGAAUUUGCAAUCCCGGUUAUGCGUCUUCAGUAUAAAGACGGGCACAAGACGCAUUAGGAACUAUCAUCGGUUGUGCGUCUCCCAAGACGAAUAAUCGAAAAUAGUUCGUCUAGACGCAUAACGCGUCUUGUACCCGUCUUUAGGGAGUUUACGAUCUACGACGAGGCCGGCUCGACGACGCGCUUUCAAAACAAAGAAAUUUGGUGUUUCUACAAACAAUAGUAUUAUACAGUUUGUUUUAUCCCUAUGCAAACCUACAAAGAACUUACAAAGAAAUUUGUCAUGCAAGACAAAAACUGUCAAUAAUUCGUCAACCGCGUUGUCAUUCUCAAC
Molecule: non-coding RNA, 2011 nt
Organism: Paramuricea clavata
Lineage: Eukaryota; Metazoa; Cnidaria; Anthozoa; Malacalcyonacea; Plexauridae
Source: the annotation of a GenBank genome assembly